CGGUUGGGAGAGCUCUACUCACAUAAGAGCCUCCGAAGCCGGCCAGGGAAACAUGCUUCUAACAAUGUUGGACGUAGCACAUUAACUGGC
Molecule: ribozyme, 90 nt
Filed under: unclassified sequences
Description: Hairpin ribozyme 1 from viruses-like metatranscriptomes
Rfam family: Hairpin ribozyme 1 from viruses-like metatranscriptomes
Source: Rfam by way of RNAcentral